UUGUGAUGGCAGAUUUUAUAUUUAGUUAUGUUUCAUGCAAGGAAUGACAGUUAUAGAUGGGAAUGUUAUUCUGAGAUGUAUUUCUGUGGGUUUAGACUAUAACAUGUGGGGGUCAGCUUAGGAGACUCAGAUGUGUAUUCGUUAGAGAUUCGUCUGUGCCUCUGCUGGGACAAAAGGUUUUCACACCUAGACUCUUUCAUGGGUCAUCCAGCAGAGAUGGGGGUCUAAGAGAGACUUGGAGUCUAAGCAGAUGCCUGAUGUGUAGUGAGACUUUCGAAGGGGUCCUUCAUUCAGAUUGGAGGUGACCAAAUCUAAGCCUGAAGACAACACGCAGAGAACUGAUUGGAUAAACAUUCUACCUCUGUGAAAGGAGGGACUUAUUUAGUAUAAAUCAAAUGUGAUUCCAUUGUUCUGUGCCAUUGACCCCAGUCUGACUAAGUGACAGGGUGCUCUGGUCCCUAGCUGCAGCUAGGUAGAAUUGUAUGAACCAGAAUUGAUAAUUGUCUUUGCUGUGAAAUGUAAUAAAAUGUUCCAUUACAUUUGGCGAUUGUCGGCAGAGGCCAUCAUAUAGUGAACUCUGGCUCUUGGAGCUGACGGUAAGUAACUGCAUCGGGGCAGUACGUCUCGGACUAAACCUUCAUUUUACAGAGGGCCUGAUGUCCUGAGAGCGAGGAGUACUCACUAAGAUGACCGAAAGAACCGAGGGGGAUUGGCAAGCAAUUUCGUUCUGGUGAGUAAAAUUCUGAUUUCGAAAAAUAAACUAGGUUUAUAAGGGUUAAGAGAUUCACUCAUUUGUCAAAGUGAGGAGCAGACGUGCUUACAUAGCAAGGUUUUGGAAACCGGUGUAGAAUCCAAGAAGCUUCAGGGUUUGGAACCAAUAAAAGUUAACUGGGUUUAACAAAGUCAGGGUUUGGAACCAACAAGUUAACUGGGUUUAACAAAGUCAGGGUUUAGAACCACUGCAAAAAAAAACAACAAGUUAACUGGGUUUAACAAAGUCAGGGUUUAGAACCACUGCAAAAAAAAAAACAAAGCUCAACUGAGUCAAACGGAAUAGAUAUAGAUAUAUGGAGUGUUUAUUAAUUUAAACACAACUUUAAGAUUGAGCUCUGACGUCGAGUUUCAUGAUAAUUAUAACUAUUUUCAUAAAAUAGUAAUAGCAUUCUCAAGUAUUUAGUACCUGGAGGCGUAUAACUGGAGAGAAGUGUGUGUGUAGAGAUUUGAAUGAUAUUUCUCCAAAGGUAUCAGGAUGCACUAAGGGUAUUUUUUCUCAAUGUCUCUUAAGGGAGUGUUUUUUUUUUAGAUUGGUUGAAGGUAUAAGGUUACUAUAAACGUUACACAAGUGUUGCUGGUUUGAUUACGAGUGUCUGUACAAGUAACCUGUAAGAUUUGAUGAGACCAGUCUGAGAAUUUACAGCUGACAAAGAAAAAGAGAGGAGUGAGAGGAGUUCUUGAAAUUCUCAACACUGGAGCAAGAGACGCUGAAAAUGGCACAAAUAACAGCUUGGAGAUGCCAAGCCCGUGGAAGAGGGAGACAAAGAGGUUCAACAAAAACUUCAUCUAAGUAAGAACACUGACACACAUACACCAUGUGAAUUAAUGUUACAUAGAGCAGAUGAUUAACAUUAUAAGAGCUAAAUUAGAAAUUACUAUAGAGAGGCCCAUUGUGCCUUAGCUAAAUACUUUCACAAGAUUCAUGUGAACUAAAUUUAAAACAAACAAAUCAGAGUGAUUGGCAGAGACAUCAAAUAUAUUUGUAGAUUCAGGGAUUAGAAUCAACAUUAAAUAUAUGUGAAGAAUGUGAUAUCACUCUCAUAAUGAUUGUUAGAUAGCUCAUAAAUGAUGGGAAAACAUGUGCAAAAAGUGAUAGAGAGAUGCAUUUUUAUCAUUGUGUUUUUUAUAUGUGUUAGAGGUUAAAUACAAGAUUUAAACAUUUAUUUUGUUGUCACCAAGCUGCUUGAUAAAAACAACUAGAUUGGAGAGUAUGCUAAAUUUUGACACAACAGGGCAUUUGUUAGAACAAAAGUGGAAAUGACAUCUACAUUUAUUUAAAGGAGAGAGAGAGAGAGAGGGGGAUUUAACACUAGCAUAUCAAAGAAUGAUCCCAGACACCUUUCUCAGGUCUAAAGUAACAUCCUCGUGCGAAGAGCAGGGGGAGAAAUAAAUUAGAUCAUAAAAUGUAUUUUCUUAGAGGAAUUUAACCAUUUGGUAAGAGAACUUAGUUUAAAAAGCAUUUAUAGGAAAUACAUUGAGGAUAAUGUAAGUUUGAAAUUUGGACUAGUAAAUACUGUGUUGUUUUAGUAGUCUUUGAUAGACUCAUUGGCUAAAAGAUUUAUGAUUAACUUCUGAUUCAUAUGAAAGAUGAAUAAAACCAGAAACAAGAGUAAAGGUUUUAUAAUUUUGGAUUAAAUAGAGGAAAAAGACAUUUAAUCCCAAUAAAAUACAUGUAAGCACAUUAAAAUUUUUUAAAGAGGAUUAACAGUUAAUCGUAACCGAUUUUCUGUAUAGAUAAAUUAAAUAAGGAGUUUUUAACGCAUUUUUGAAUGUUAAGUAUCUUUGAGGUACUGGAUUGAUAUUUUUAGUUUGUUGUUGUAAAAAUUAAUGAUAUUUUCUAAGUUGAUACAGGUACCAUCAUGUUUGUGAACUGGUCACAAAAAUGGUAUUGGUCUGAUCAGAGGAGCAGACGCAAUAGAAAAGAAUAUUCUGUAAAUAUUCUUGUGGAAAGUGAAUUUUCUGUUUUAACAUACAUUUUUUUGUCUUCAAGGAUAAACCAAGGGAGGCAAAGCUUCAAACAUGUCUCAGAGCUAUGGUAGCUGCUGAGAGAACUGUUAUAUGUGAUGUGUGAUAUGUGAUACUUUGAAAUAAGACUUUACUAGUGUCAUAUGCUGUAACAAUGAUAUUGCUUGAGAAAAAAUGAUCACUUUUCAACAGCUAGGUGGUUCAGCUAGGAUACAGUAUUGUUUUUUAGAUGAUAGACAUUACUAUUACAGAUAGAAAGUGUUUAACUAGGAAACUCUUAGCUACAUCAGUAGAAGAGGUUUUAGACUAAACUAAAGCUUUUCUCCUGAAUUAGGAUUUAAAUGGUAAUCAAGCUGAUAAAUGUAAACGUGAAGUGUUUUGUGACUGUUUCAGCUUCAAAGGUUUCAGCAGUGUGAUAACAAAGUGGGUUACGACUGUGGGACACAGAGGAAAUCAACCCCCUUCACAUUAUAUGCAUUGACCAAAGAGAUGCAAAUAUGCUAGAGACGAGAGUGUCAAGAUUUACACUGACAGCAGGUUUGCAUGUGAUGGGGGGCUGAAUAGACAUUCAUGAACUUAACUUUAACACCAUUGUUUUUGCUUGACUGUGGUAUUUGUGUUUUGCAAGCAGUAUGCAGUUGGCCGAGAACAUGGAUUACGGUUUGAAGAUUUGAAUAUUGACAUUUGAUAUGGCUUAUAGGAGCUGUAAGCAAAGUUACAUAGGAACUUACAUUUUUUAGAAUUUAGACUUAAUACAUUUAGGAAUUAAGUAGUUUUGAUUAACGGGAGUUUAUUUGGUUGUUGAUUAGUUUAAAUGUGGGUCAUAAAGAUGAUUUUGAUAGUUUCAUUUUGAAUAUGUUUCUUCAUUAGGUUGGAUUGACACAAGACUGGUGUCUAAGUGUCAAAAGGGAGGAGUUACAUAUGAAAUGAAAUUAAAUAUAGGUAUAUUGAGUGUACAGACAAUACACACUUAAUAAUAUUCACUAAAACUUUUUAACUUUUUAGAAGAGUUGUGUGAUUUGAGUUACAAAAUAAAAAGGUAAAACAAUCUGGAUUCCACAAGGUGAACAUCCACCUCCAAAUAAACAACUUGAUCAUUCAUAAAGAGAUUUGAUAAAGAUAAAAAUUAUGUAAGUUAGGGAAAUGAAUAAAUACUGUUUUAUUUUCAUUGAAAUGUUUUCUAUGCAAGCAGAAGUUUCCCAACAUCUAAACAGGAUUCUUCAGCAGUGAAGGAGUCACUGCUCGGGAGAACUUAUCCAUGAUGGGAGAGUCUAAAAGGAUGUCCACUGAUAAUUGUACCCAAUUUGUAAGCGCAGCAUUAAGGAUGCUGGCAGAUGAAGGAGAAUCUAUUGGAAAUCCAUGGAAAGGGAGCUGCAUGCGAAGGAACCAGGAGAAUGGAUUGUACUGAAGGACGUGAGGAGAAAAGAUUGGAAGAGGACGUCGAUGGAACGAGUGCAAGCCAAAUGCCUCUCACCAGAGGGAUGACAAGUGAAGGUCGCUGAGAGGGCAACCUGGAGACAUGCGGGCCAACGCAGGAGGAUUUCGAUAGCCACGGGUGAAUUCUACAGGACGGAUAGUGCUUUGUGCCAGUGUGUGAGCCUUCAAUUGAUGGGUGUUGCAAUGUGAGGAAAACACAUUGAAGAGGGUCACUGCUGUCACAACCGCACAGACAGGGGAACAACGACAGAUGAUUUGGACGACUGAGGAGCAGUUCAGGGAAAAAUGGUUUCCCUACUACGGAUGCUUUUAUCAUCGUCUUGCCACCAACAUGUUAAAUGUGUUACUUUGGCAGGAGGAAUAAUACAAAUUCCUGAGCAUCUAUGGUCAAGAGCAAAUAGAGCUUAUGUUUAACUUUCCUGAUGAACUGAUAGAGCCUGGAGAGCUUCAUGGUAGGCGACCAUGAUGAUAACAGACAAGAUUCAACUCAUUGUGUGCGAGAAAAGCAUUCAACAGUGUGAGAGUCUCCACAAGGGAUGGUUUGGAGAGCUUGUCCCAUGGGGGGGCACUGUGAAGAACACACACACAGAUGAGCUGGCUCUAAGAGUUAGUUCAAGGACAUUAGGAAAUGAAACUCUGCAUCUACAGGAAGCUCUGAAAUAAGAUGUUCGUCAGCUGAAGGAGGACUUCGACACAUAUGAAGUGUGGCACAGUGAACAAUUCGAUAAUAUGGUGCAUAUUGUUAAAUGUAAGGUAAAAUGAUCUAUUGUCCAGAGAGAGAACAAGGACAUAUUCCUGAUGGGUGGGAAUUAAGGGUCAUGGUUUCUUUUGAAUAAUUGCUAAAUAUGUUAUUGAUUUGUUGAGACAGAUUCUGUUUUUUUUUAAUUAUGUACAGGUGUUACAAACUGUUAUAUUGUUUUUUUGUUAAGACUGUGGUUACUUCCUUAACCAAGUCUAUGAUUGGACAAAAUGUUCGAUUUCUUGAAACUCAUGUAUCCUGGACUCUUUCUAAAUAUAAUGAUAAGGUGUUAUGGAGAUGUUUGAGACAAUAGUCUCAAAAGGGAGGAUUGUGAUGGCAGAUUUUAUAUUUAGUUAUGUUUCAUGCAAGGAAUGACAGUUAUAGAUGGGAAUGUUAUUCUGAGAUGUAUUUCUGUGGGUUUAGACUAUAACAUGUGGGGGUCAGCUUAGGAGACUCAGAUGUGUAUUCGUUAGAGAUUCGUCUGUGCCUCUGCUGGGACAAAAGGUUUUCACACCUAGACUCUUUCAUGGGUCAUCCAGCAGAGAUGGGGGUCUAAGAGAGACUUGGAGUCUAAGCAGAUGCCUGAUGUGUAGUGAGACUUUCGAAGGGGUCCUUCAUUCAGAUUGGAGGUGACCAAAUCUAAGCCUGAAGACAACACGCAGAGAACUGAUUGGAUAAACAUUCUACCUCUGUGAAAGGAGGGACUUAUUUAGUAUAAAUCAAAUGUGAUUCCAUUGUUCUGUGCCAUUGACCCCAGUCUGACUAAGUGACAGGGUGCUCUGGUCCCUAGCUGCAGCUAGGUAGAAUUGUAUGAACCAGAAUUGAUAAUUGUCUUUGCUGUGAAAUGUAAUAAAAUGUUCCAUUACA
This is a long non-coding RNA of Pleuronectes platessa (European plaice), 5782 nucleotides long. RefSeq lists it as uncharacterized. The record is from RefSeq and is a predicted model, not a curated record. Lineage: Eukaryota; Metazoa; Chordata; Actinopteri; Pleuronectiformes; Pleuronectidae. The transcript has 3 exons.